GUGGGGAAUAUUGGACAAUGGGCGAAAGCCUGAUCCAGCCAUGCCGCGUGAGUGAUGAAGGCCUUAGGGUUGUAAAGCUCUUUCAGUAGGGAAGAUAAUGACGGUACCUACAGAAGAAGCCCCGGCUAACUUCGUGCCAGCAGCCGCGGUAAUACGAAGGGGGCUAGCGUUGUUCGGAUUUACUGGGCGUAAAGCGCACGUAGGCGGAUUGGUCAGUUAGAGGUGAAAUCCUGGAGCUCAACUCCAGAACUGCCUUUAAUACUGCCAGUCUAGAGUCCAGAAGAGGUGAGUGGAACUCCUAGUGUAGAGGUGGAAUUCGUAGAUAGUAGGAAGAACACCAGUGGCGAAGGCGGCUCACUGGUCUGGUACUGACGCUGAGGUGCAAAAGCGUGGGGAGCAAACAGGAUUAGAUACCCGGGUAGUCC
Molecule: ribosomal RNA, 425 nt
Filed under: uncultured bacterium
Lineage: Bacteria
Description: partial 16S ribosomal RNA
Rfam family: Bacterial small subunit ribosomal RNA
Source: RNAcentral